GACGAACGCUGGCGGCGUGCUUAACACAUGCAAGUCGAGCGGAAAGGCCACUUCGGUGGUACUCGAGCGGCGAACGGGUGAGUAACACGUGAGUAAUCUGCCCUCCACUUUGGGAUAGCCACCGGAAACGGUGAUUAAUACCGGAUAUGACCUCGCAUCGCAUGGUGUGUGGUGGAAAGUUUUUCGGUGGGGGAUGUGCU
Molecule: ribosomal RNA, 200 nt
Filed under: uncultured bacterium
Lineage: Bacteria
Description: partial 16S ribosomal RNA
Rfam family: Bacterial small subunit ribosomal RNA
Source: RNAcentral